UGGGGAAUUUUGCACAAUGGGGGAAACCCUGAUGCAGCGACGCCGCGUGAUUUAGAAGGCCUUCGGGUUGUAAAAAUCUUUUCUAUGGGAAGAAAAUGACAGUACCAUAGGAAUAAGGACCGGCUAAUUACGUGCCAGCAGCCGCGGUAAUACGUAAGGUCCGAGCGUUGUCCGGAAUCAUUGGGCGUAAAGGGUACGUAGGCGGGUAAGCAAGUUAGAAGUGAAAUCCUGUAGCUCAACUACAGUAAGCUUUUAAAACUGCUCAUCUUGAGAUAUGGAAGGGAAAGUGGAAUUCCUAGUGUAGCGGUGAAAUGCGCAGAUAUUAGGAGGAAUACCGGUGGCGAAGGCGACUUUCUGGCCAUAAUCUGACGCUGGGGUACGAAAGCGUGGGGAGCGAACAGG
RNAcentral lists this ribosomal RNA (402 nucleotides) under Bacteroidota bacterium. RNAcentral describes it as "Bacteroidetes bacterium partial 16S ribosomal RNA". It matches the Rfam family "Bacterial small subunit ribosomal RNA", at positions 355 to 776 of the family's 1533-position model. Lineage: Bacteria; Pseudomonadati; Bacteroidota. The record is from RNAcentral.